UGGGCGGGGUGCUAUACAUGCAGUCGAGCGGACAGAAGGGAGCUUGCUCCCGGAUGUUAGCGGCGGACGGGUGAGUAACACGUGGGUAACCUGCCUGUAAGACUGGGAUAACUCCGGGAAACCGGAGCUAAUACCGGAUAGUUCCUUGAACCGCAUGGUUCAAGGAUGAAAGACGGUUUCGGCUGUCACUUACAGAUGGACCCGCGGCGCAUUAGCUAGUUGGUGGGGUAAUGGCUCACCAAGGCGACGAUGCGUAGCCGACCUGAGAGGGUGAUCGGCCACACUGGGACUGAGACACGGCCCAGACUCCUACGGGAGGCAGCAGUAGGGAAUCUUCCGCAAUGGACGAAAGUCUGACGGAGCAACGCCGCGUGAGUGAUGAAGGUUUUCGGAUCGUAAAGCUCUGUUGUUAGGGAAGAACAAGUGCGAGAGUAACUGCUCGCACCUUGACGGUACCUAACCAGAAAGCCACGGCUAACUACGUGCCAGCAGCCGCGGUAAUACGUAGGUGGCAAGCGUUGUCCGGAAUUAUUGGGCGUAAAGGGCUCGCAGGCGGUUUCUUAAGUCUGAUGUGAAAGCCCCCGGCUCAACCGGGGAGGGUCAUUGGAAACUGGGAAACUUGAGUGCAGAAGAGGAGAGUGGAAUUCCACGUGUAGCGGUGAAAUGCGUAGAGAUGUGGAGGAACACCAGUGGCGAAGGCGACUCUCUGGUCUGUAACUGACGCUGAGGAGCGAAAGCGUGGGGAGCGAACAGGAUUAGAUACCCUGGUAGUCCACGCCGUAAACGAUGAGUGCUAAGUGUUAGGGGGUUUCCGCCCCUUAGUGCUGCAGCUAACGCAUUAAGCACUCCGCCUGGGGAGUACGGUCGCAAGACUGAAACUCAAAGGAAUUGACGGGGGCCCGCACAAGCGGUGGAGCAUGUGGUUUAAUUCGAAGCAACGCGAAGAACCUUACCAGGUCUUGACAUCCUCUGACAACCCUAGAGAUAGGGCUUUCCCUUCGGGGACAGAGUGACAGGUGGUGCAUGGUUGUCGUCAGCUCGUGUCGUGAGAUGUUGGGUUA
This 1061-nucleotide ribosomal RNA is filed under the name Bacillus pumilus. Its description in RNAcentral is "bacterial SSU rRNA". It matches the Rfam family "Bacterial small subunit ribosomal RNA", at positions 37 to 1082 of the family's 1533-position model. The record is from RNAcentral. Lineage: Bacteria; Bacillati; Bacillota; Bacilli; Caryophanales; Bacillaceae.